UGUUUUCACUCUUGCAGAACGUUCUCGUGUGCCCAGGGACACUCCUGUCCUGUGCGGCUUCCAGGAGGAGCCGAGUUUCCAGCUCUGCCCUCUAGAGCAGCACACUUGUCUGCUGCAGUCCUGGGGUUGGAUACAGACCCUCCCUCUGAGGGACAGCUCCUCCUCCCUCAGGCUUGAGGCAGAGUGACGGCGGCCCAGCUGCGCCCGAUGAGGAUGUCUGAGCAGGCUCCCAGGCGGGUCCUCCCAGAGUGAGGAGCUGUCCUGACCCAGUGGAGACCCCCGCGGAGGACGAGGAUCCAAACGAAAUAAAGCCGUGUGAACAUCAGACACGAGACGUCACUACUGGAACGGAGAGCGGAGAAGAGCAGCGACCCCUUGGAGCUGGCAGCACCCUGUUUACCUCGAGGAAGCUGCGGCGCAGGAACGGGGCGCCGGGCAGUGAGCGAGCAGCGCCCGGGCUGGAGGCUCGUCUUCUAAAUGCCAGGCCCCGCCGGGCUCGGGCCGUCCCGUCCACAGGUGCCCUGGGCGUCCCUGCCGCCUCCCACCUCUCGUGACCACGGGUCCUGAGCCUGCCCGCAGUCCCGGCCUGGACACCGGACUCACGGGAGCCAGAGGCUCUGCGCCCCGAGGCGGUCUGGACCCCUUUAACCCUGGGCGAGCUGUCUACCCCCAAUCCCACCCGUUAUUCUUUCUGUAACACUUACUGGGCCCGUCUGUGCCGGGGUGUUUUCAGUUCAGUCGCUCAGUCGUGUCCGACUCUUUGUGACCCCAGGGACUGCAGCACGCCAGGCCUCCCUGUCCAUCACCAACUCCCGGAGCUUGCUCAAACUCAUGUCCAUUGAGUCGGUGAUAUCACUGAGUCAGUGAUACCAUUGAGUCAGUGAUACCUCAUCCUCUGUCAUCCCCUUCUCCUCCUGCCUUCAAUCUUUCCCAGGGGUGUUUACAGUCUUGCAAAACCAGCUGACAGGGUGACCUGGGCAGCCCCGGGCAGGUUUGCACCUACAGGAGAGCAGGACGUGAGGUGCACGGGCUGUUGUCAGUGAAGCAAAGAGCCCCCACCCUGGACUCUGGGCAUCCAUGCAGCCGCCUGGUUUCAUGGCAUGUCCUAGCAACCCUGUGGCUCCCUGGAGGAGGUGUGAGAGAACUGGCUGACUGCGAGAGGCCGUGGGUUGAGGCACGGGCAAGUCACCAGUGCCGGUAAGACCAGGCCCCAGUGUGGACAGCUUCCUGACCCCAGGCCCCUCCAGGCACCUGGCUCCAGACCAGGCAGGGGAAUGGGGUCCCUGAGCCCCCGCCACCCCUCACUGCCCUCCUGUGGCCGCACUGCCCUGCAGGAGUCCCUGCUGGGUGAACCCAGGACGCUGUAGCUGAACCUCCCCAGGGAAACGAUCCUGGUUCUGAAGGUAAGACCCAAAGGACUGCCUACCUGCCCAGGUGAGACCAGGGACAGGAACAGCUCCUCCAAGGCAGAGACUGCAUCUGUACUGCAGCCUGUGUUUUGGCCCCGGAUUGUAGGCUGUGAACAAACCAGCCAGGAAGCCAGGAGUAGAGGUGAAUGAUGCCGCUGGCAUCACAUUUGGAAAGAAAAGCAAAGUUGGACAGAAUUUAACUAAUUUCCUCACCGUGAAUCAACAUAUUACUUUGUGCGUGUACACCCAACCAGCAUCCUCCCCUAUGUAAAUAGUUGUUUUAUUAGAUUAUUUAAAACACAACAGUGUUUGUCAUUAGCUUCUCCAUGAAUCAUCUGAAUCAUGGUUUGUGGUUACUGAACUAAAAUUCAACCUUGAAGCGUGUUGUGAUAUAUUUUUGCAAUAAAAAUAUCAAGUUCAUUUAAACA
Molecule: long non-coding RNA, 1837 nt
Organism: Bos indicus x Bos taurus (hybrid cattle)
Lineage: Eukaryota; Metazoa; Chordata; Mammalia; Artiodactyla; Bovidae
Source: Ensembl